This is a long non-coding RNA of Gymnodraco acuticeps, 1572 nucleotides long. RefSeq lists it as uncharacterized. Lineage: Eukaryota; Metazoa; Chordata; Actinopteri; Perciformes; Bathydraconidae. The transcript has 4 exons. The record is from RefSeq and is a predicted model, not a curated record.
CCCUGCUUAAACAGUGACUUGAUUGGUUCAAGACUGCUCCUAACUAACUUUAGUUUGCUCACGACUGAGACGACCCUUCAAUCAUGUUGGCUAUACUUUAUUAUCCGUGAUAGAAGAGGAGUUUGGGAACAUUUGGGAACAACAACAGACUGCCCCAUUCUACACUGAAUGUCACUACUGCUGUCGGCUAGGUCGAGAAUCAUUUCUGAAGGACAAGGCCUGCAGCGUGGUGACAACUGUAAGCUGCUGUAAGAGCUGGAGGAUCAAAUGAAGACUGCAGGUGAAGGGGAACAGAUGUUGACAGGAGCCAACUCUCCCCGAACAAGACUCAAUGCACAGAGCACUCUGUACCUGAAAUAGCCCAAGUGGUCUGGGCCGGCUGGCCUCGCCAAGCCUGCCCAGAGAGAUAGUUGGGGCAUGACAGAAGCCCAUGCAAGCUGACGCAGUGUCACAGAACAUGCUUGUUUUCUGCAGGAUUCCCCAGAUCCUAAAAGCUUUUUUGCCCUCAUAUUGAUCCCGGAGCGCCUGCGGUCAGAUGGGUGUUGUGUGCGAGUGCAGAGGGGCUAAGAGCUUGGCCUCGAAGAUGCUCCAGGGCUACUGCUCCAGAUUAACCGUACACUGCUCUGGCAUCCAGUUCACCUGAUGUUACACUGUUAGAGACUUUUUGUUCCACAUUAUUAUGUACAUACGUUAUGCUGCACCUCUCUCCUGGUUUGUCAUGCUGCUUCCUCAAGCAAACACACUGCACCUGGCAUAGCGUGUAUUCAAAUUAGCUAGAUGUUUAACGCCACAGGUUUAUGGCUUAGAUUAAUUCAUUUUCAGUGUUAGAAAAAGCGUUUUCAACCGUAACCUACUUCAUAACCUCUCUGCAGGACAUGUUUAAGACAACAUUUGUUUCAGAAGGGAAGGUAAAUUGUUUUUUAAAUGCUUUGUUUCUGACAUUUGUUGCAGAUCAACCUUGGAUGCUUUAUUUUACUAAAUCUAAUCACUCUUUUAAUAUCUUGCAAACCUGUCCAUAACAACUCUGCGUUAACUCUACCUGCUGUGGGAUGUGGCUCCCUGGGGUUUCUCUGGCCGCCCUCAUCGUCAAACUCCCCAGGAGGCAGGCCUUCCACCACCUGAAAACUCCUGCCCUGUUUGCCCCACACAUGGUGGAUCUGCAUGGCUGCUUCACGUUCUGCUGCCAGGUCCACGUCCUGCUGGGCCAGAUGGGCCCUCAGCUGCCGGAUCUCAAACUGGAGAUGGUCAGUGAAACAAGCAGGAGAAUCAGCAGAUUAGGCGAGGGUGAAAGUGAAGGGAUGGAUUUAAAAAACGGAUGAGUGACGAAGAUAGAGAUGGAAAAAAGGACGAGGAAGGCAAGAGGAAAGGCCAAAGAUAUACAGGAUCCGGUCAAACGUGAUAACUUCAUCUAUUUUCUCUAGAGAAAAUGUACAGUAUGAUUUAAACAUUUUGAUAAUUAACAUUAUGUGCAGUUUCAUACUGAGGGCCUUUGACGCCAUCAAAGAUCAUACAUUAAAUGCUUUGACAAACAAAGAUUGUCUAUGCUUAUAUUUAUAUGGUUGAUUAUUUGUG